This 214-nucleotide unclassified non-coding RNA is filed under the name Glomus sp. RNAcentral's name for it is "partial contains 5.8S ribosomal RNA and internal transcribed spacer 2". The stretch from base 1 to 71 matches the Rfam family "5.8S ribosomal RNA", at positions 84 to 154 of the family's 154-position model. The record is from RNAcentral. Lineage: Eukaryota; Fungi; Glomeromycota; Glomeromycetes; Glomerales; Glomeraceae.
GUGAAUCAUCAAAUCUUUGAACGCAAAUUGCACUCUUUGGUAUUCCGGAGAGUAUGCCUGUUUGAGGGUCAGUUUUAAUAAAAAUCGGUGUGGUUGCUGCCUUUUGUGGUGACGCAUCGGAUUUGGGUCGUCUUGUCUUGGGAUAAGUUACCUAAAAUUUUGCAUGUUAUUUUUCGAACGUAUUUAAUUCUUUUUAAGUACGAUUGCGAUAUAG